Molecule: long non-coding RNA, 871 nt
Organism: Catharus ustulatus (Swainson's thrush)
Lineage: Eukaryota; Metazoa; Chordata; Aves; Passeriformes; Turdidae
Exons: 8
Source: RefSeq, a predicted model, not a curated record
GCAAAAAGCUUCGCUGCCCUGCCUGUCAAGCCCGAGGUUUGAACUCGGUCCAGAAUGCUGGAUUUACUUUUCAGGAAGAAUCAGUACCUGGCUGAGCUGCCUUUUUCCCUUCCCUCCUCCUUGCAGGAGGGCAAACAAUGUUCUUUUGAUGCUUUCCUGCCAGUGGGGAUCUCGCCCUGGAGAAGGAGACAAAACUUUGCUACCUGUGAAACGAAGACUGCCUAGGUAGCAGUGGAAAUGAAAGCAAUUCCAUUUCCCACAAAUGAGUAACUUCAGUGGGAAUUGCUCAUGAAAAAGGAUCACCUGGAUUCUUCUGGAGCUGGGAGUCAGGGCCAGAAAUCUCCAGGAAAGACCUGCCCAAGGCACAAGAGGAAGAUCUCACCUCUCCAGAGGCUCCAUCACACCUGGAGCUUCAGGCAAGGAGCAUUUCCCCUGCUUGGAGCAGCACUGCCGAGUGCUGGUGGCAGAUUGAGGGAGAAGGAAUAAACCCCAACGUUUUAAAGCCACUCCAUGGAACACAGGGGUUUGCCAGAGCUGGUGAAUCUCUUUUGUGGAACACACAGAAAAUCUUCCAUUCCAAAUCUCAAAUCCUGCUGCUCCUUCCCACUCCCAGCAGGCUGAGCAGGAGCUGUUUGCAGGUGCUCCAUCCCAGCUCUGACUUCUGCUGGAUAUUUCCAUAUUUCUGAUCUCCUUCUGGCAGCUGGAUGAGAAGGGAAUGCCAUGGCCAAGGAGGGAUUGCCAAGGUUCAAGUGGAAUUCCAAGGGAACACGAGUUCUGUGUCACCUCUACACCAGACCCGUGUUUGGAGGAAACCAAGAGCAGAUCCUUUUUUAUUCCCACUCAUUUUCAGGGUGAGUGAAUCCUCUUGUCU